GUACAAAGCAAAGUCAGGAGAAAUAUACGGACCGUUCCGCACGCAGCUGGGGUACCACUUCCUGAUCGUUACCGAUAAACGUGCACAUACUGAGCUCCACCUCGAGCAUACCAUGCUCCUGUUCCGGAAAAAUAUGACGCACGAUGAUUCCACGAAGAUGAAGGCGAAGAUCGAUUCCUUAUCCGCCGAGCUCAAAAAAGGACGCAACUUCGAAGAGGUCGCAAAAAAAUAUUCAGACCAUAAAGAGACCGGCAAGAAAGGCGGUGAUAUCGGGUGGCUCGCUCCGAGCUCCAACUUCCCGGAAGAGUUCAAGGCUGCGGCCCUGACGCUGAAAGAGAACGGAUCGGUGUCUGAUCCUGUGAAGACCAAGUUCGGAUG
Molecule: unclassified non-coding RNA, 378 nt
Filed under: uncultured fungus
Lineage: Eukaryota; Fungi
Description: sequence contains ITS1
Source: RNAcentral